RNAcentral lists this ribosomal RNA (427 nucleotides) under uncultured bacterium. RNAcentral's name for it is "bacterial SSU rRNA". It matches the Rfam family "Bacterial small subunit ribosomal RNA", at positions 29 to 456 of the family's 1533-position model. The record is from RNAcentral.
AGCGAACGUUAGCGGCGCGCCUAACACAUGCAAGUCGCACGAGAAAGGGAGCAAUCCCCGGUACAGUGGCGGACGGGUGAGUAACGCGUGGGAAUCUACCCUAGAGCGGGGGACAACCCGGGAAACCCGGGCUAAUACCGCAUACGUCCUACGGGAGAAAGAGGGCCUCUGCUUGCACGCUCUCACUCCAGGAUGAGCCCACGUCCGAUUAGCUAGUUGGUAGGGUAAAGGCCUACCAAGGCCACGAUCGGUAGCUGGUCUGAGAGGAUGAUCAGCCACACUGGGACUGAGACACGGCCCAGACUCCUGCGGGAGGCAGCAGUGGGGGAAUAUUGGACAAUGGGCGCAAGCCUGAUCCAGCAAUGCCGCGUGUGUGAAGAAAGGCCUGCGGGUUGUAAAAGCACUUUCAGUGGGGAAGGAAACGAAG